This 464-nucleotide ribosomal RNA is filed under the name uncultured Klebsiella sp. RNAcentral's name for it is "bacterial SSU rRNA". It matches the Rfam family "Bacterial small subunit ribosomal RNA", at positions 338 to 795 of the family's 1533-position model. The record is from RNAcentral. Lineage: Bacteria; Pseudomonadati; Pseudomonadota; Gammaproteobacteria; Enterobacterales; Enterobacteriaceae.
CCUACGGGGGGCAGCAGUGGGGAAUAUUGCACAAUGGGCGCAAGCCUGAUGCAGCCAUGCCGCGUGUGUGAAGAAGGCCUUCGGGUUGUAAAGCACUUUCAGCGGGGAGGAAGGCGGUGAGGUUAAUAACCUCAUCGAUUGACGUUACCCGCAGAAGAAGCACCGGCUAACUCCGUGCCAGCAGCCGCGGUAAUACGGAGGGUGCAAGCGUUAAUCGGAAUUACUGGGCGUAAAGCGCACGCAGGCGGUCUGUCAAGUCGGAUGUGAAAUCCCCGGGCUCAACCUGGGAACUGCAUUCGAAACUGGCAGGCUAGAGUCUUGUAGAGGGGGGUAGAAUUCCAGGUGUAGCGGUGAAAUGCGUAGAGAUCUGGAGGAAUACCGGUGGCGAAGGCGGCCCCCUGGACAAAGACUGACGCUCAGGUGCGAAAGCGUGGGGAGCAAACAGGAUUAGAUCCCGUGUAGUC